AGUCGGACGCUUAACCGACUGCGCCACCCAGGUGCCCCGAGAUUACUUUAAAAAUAAAAAAGAAAUCUUAAACAUAAUCCUUAGCAAAGAACCUGGAGUCUUGAGGAGAUCUGGGCCCCUUCAUAAUGAUGGUGCUGAGGGUCAUAAUAACAGCAGCUCCCAACUUGUGGGCAGGAAGAUGCCUGCAGACAUGAUCUCAUUCCGUCCUCACUCCUGCCUUGAAGUUAACUACCUGUGAUCCCAUCCUCCAGAUAAGUGGCCUACGGGGCCGGAGGCCAUGCUACUGGUGACUUCUAGCUCUAAAUGUCACAUCCCAGGGCACCUGGAUGGCUCAGUCACUUAAGCCUCUGACUCUUGAUUUCAGUUCGGGUCAUGAUCUUGUGGUCUGUGAGUUCAAGCCCUGAGUCGGGCUCUGCACUGACGGCACGGAGCCUGCCUGGGAUUCUCUCUCCCCUCUCUCUCUGCCCCUCCCCUGCUAGCGCUCUCUGUCUCUCACAAUAAAUAAAUAAACAUUUAAGUGCCGAGUCCUAAUCCCUCUCUGCACUGCACUGGCCUCUGAGCGAUGUCUAUACCUUUGUCAUCACCUUUAAGGGGGAUGAAAUAGCAGGUAACUAAAGGCAGUGUGUUUCCCUGGAUGGGAUCCCGGGAUGGAAAAAGGACCUUUGUGGAAAAACUGGUGAGAUGGAAUGAGGUCUGGAGUUUGGUGAAUAGCAGCAGGCCGGCAUUGGUUUCCUCCUUUUAACAAAUGCGCUGUGGUUUUUGUAAGAUGUUAACAAAAGGGUGAAGAGUGUAAGGAAACUCUGUGAUCUUUGCAACAUUUCUGCAAAUCCGAACCUAUUCCCAAAUGAAAAGUUUCUUCCUAAAAAGGUAAGCGGACAAAGAGGGAAAGCCUGUGAGGGGGGUGGGGGGCACUGCCUGUCAUGGACAAGAGGACACACAAAGGCCAUCAGAUGCUUUUGCAAAUGGGCAUGUGCUGAGCUGGGGGAGGGAGGAGUUUCACUGAUGGAGGCCCAGAAGGGGAAGUAGAUUCACAAUUGUUCUCAGGACUGGAGCAAGCCCCUCCCCCUCCCCCACCGCACCUCACAGCCCCAUGUAAACAAGUGCUUUGGAGAUGGCAUUCCCUAACCCGGGUGGCCUGUCGAGCCUGGGGGUGCUAGGGUGGGGUGGGGAAAGUGCUGGGGCUCCCCUCCACCCCAGAAACCAGGAGACAGAUGUCAAAUGAGGGGUGGGGUGGUGAGGGGGGGGUCACAGAAAUUCACGGUGACCUUUAGCCGGCGUGUGUGACAGAUAUUGUCCUUUCUGUAAACAAAGCGAGGAUUCCUCAGAAAACAAUACAGCCAAGGACUCUCCAGCUGGUUCUUUAAAGCCAGUGGGGAUCAGAAGUUCAUGGGGAGACACUGGGGAGAGCAGGAGAGAAGCCGAGAGAUAUUAGCCCUGAAGGCCUGAUCAAAGGCCGGAUCAGAAGGCAGAUUCGAGAAGGGAAGGGUUGAUGAGGGAAGGCUGAGAAAACUCUGGGGGCUGUGAGUCAUGGGCCAGGCAGCUGGGGCUGUGGCGUGGCCAGAACCCAGCUGGAGCCUCCCUUGAAAAUCUGCCCCCCUCCGACCAGCACCCCAUCCUGGGCCGGGCAGAGCUCUGGGGUGGCCGCAUGGAGGCCCCAUGUGGAGGGAAGAAACCACUUGCCUGGAGCUCCCGUUUCAUUCAUUUGUUCCUUCCUUCAUUCAUAAAACUUUCUUUGACCCUUCCGUAUGCAGGUGCCUGCCCUCAGUUGAGAGCUCAGUUUAAUGGGGAAGAGAGAUGAGAGAACAGCCCCGCAGGAGGACGCGCACGGCUGGCAGGCCUGGAGAGGAAGGCCGAAGAGUGUUCACCAAGCUGGGGCCCAAUGGAGGAGUGGGCGUCAGCCAGUGAAGAAAGUUCUGUUUUGUUUUUUGGAGGAGCCAAGAUCAUCAAUUGCAGUAAUUCUGCCGGGAGUAUUUGAAAUAUCCAGGAUUAAGUUGUCUUUAAGCUGAAUGCCCCUAGAUGACAGGACCCUGAGUGGAUUUGAGGAUGUCCAAAAGAAUGUAUGUGACAUAUGUAAGUUAGAAGGCAUAAUAAACUGUGUGCUUUUGAUGCCCAA
This is a long non-coding RNA of Felis catus (domestic cat), 2113 nucleotides long. RefSeq lists it as uncharacterized. The transcript is spliced from 2 exons. The record is from RefSeq and is a predicted model, not a curated record. Lineage: Eukaryota; Metazoa; Chordata; Mammalia; Carnivora; Felidae.